Molecule: ribosomal RNA, 200 nt
Filed under: uncultured bacterium
Lineage: Bacteria
Description: partial 16S ribosomal RNA
Rfam family: Bacterial small subunit ribosomal RNA
Source: RNAcentral
AGAGUUUGAUCCUGGCUCAGAACGAACGCUGGCGGCGUGCCUAACACAUGCAAGUCGAACGGGAUUGAGGGGCUUGCUCCUCAAUUUAGUGGCGCACGGGUGAGUAACGCGUAGAUAAUCUGCCUGACGAUCUGGGAUAACACUUCGAAAGGGGUGCUAAUACCGGAUAAGCCCACGGAGACUUUGGUCUUUGGCGGGAA